UACGAAGGGGGCUAGCGUUGCUCGGAAUCACUGGGCGUAAAGGGUGCGUAGGCGGGUCUUUAAGUCAGGGGUGAAAUCCUGGAGCUCAACUCCAGAACUGUCUUUGAUACUGAAGAUCUUGAGUUCGGGAGAGGUGAGUGGAACUGCGAGUGUAGAGGUGAAAUUCGUAGAUAUUCGGAGGAACACCAGUGGCGAAGGCGGCUCGCUGGCUCGAUACUGACGCUGAGGUGCGAAAGCGUGGGGAGCAAACAGG
RNAcentral lists this ribosomal RNA (253 nucleotides) under uncultured bacterium. RNAcentral's name for it is "partial 16S ribosomal RNA". It matches the Rfam family "Bacterial small subunit ribosomal RNA", at positions 524 to 776 of the family's 1533-position model. The record is from RNAcentral.